RNAcentral lists this long non-coding RNA (435 nucleotides) under Rattus norvegicus (Norway rat). RNAcentral's name for it is "long non-coding RNA NONRATT005531". Lineage: Eukaryota; Metazoa; Chordata; Mammalia; Rodentia; Muridae. The record is from RNAcentral.
UGGGAGAAACCCAGUUGCAGAUCCUGCCUGGCUGCUCUCCUCAGGACUGGAGGGCUCCAAGUCAGUGAGUAUCAAAGGUUGUUGAUGAGGAUGCCAGGGGGUCAAUUCUCUUUUCAGUUUUCCAUAAAAAUGGUUAAUGAAUUUUGAAGGUGUGGUUAGUUUUUUUAUUUCAUUUUUAUAACAUUUUAUUUAAUUUAUGACUUGAGUUUCAUUCACCCCAGUAAUCAAAAAACGCUGUGCAAAUUCUAGCAGUAUGUCUUCUAUAACGUGGAUGUUAGAAUAGCCAAUAUGUACAAAAAAAAUUAAAUCAAGUAUUUUGUCCUAUGUAUAACACAAAUUAAUUUUACACAGAGAAAGAUGUUUCUAGGAAAAUGAAAUUCUGGUAAUUCAUACUUUUUCUUUGUAUGAACAAAUAAAAUAUAUUUUACCAACCUG